RNAcentral lists this ribosomal RNA (253 nucleotides) under uncultured bacterium. RNAcentral's name for it is "partial 16S ribosomal RNA". It matches the Rfam family "Bacterial small subunit ribosomal RNA", at positions 524 to 776 of the family's 1533-position model. The record is from RNAcentral.
UACGGAGGGUGCGAGCGUUGUCCGGAAUCAUUGGGCGUAAAGAGCGCGUAGGCGGCCCGGUAAGUCAGCUGUGAAAGUCAAAGGCUCAACCUUUGAAUGUCAGCGGAUACUGCCGGGCUAGAGUCCGGAAGAGGCGAGUGGAACUCCUGGUGUAGCGGUGGAAUGCGUAGAUAUCUGGAGGAAUACCGGUGGCGAAGGCGGCAUCCUGGACCGACAUUGACGCUGAACGGCGAAAGCUAGGGGAGCAAACGGG